GGUGAUUGGCGGAUUGCAAGAGAGGGGAUAUCUUGCUGGAAGUCUUGCUGUCUUUGUUGCCUAUAGUUUAGUUAAGGGUUAGAGAGGAGAUUUAUAUUUUUGAAGUGGAGGUCUUCUAUAAAUUCCUUGUUGUAAAAACCACAACCAUUAUAGUGCAUUUGCUUCCUGGGUUGGAAGGACACUGGAUGUAGGCAUUGUUGGCCGAACCAGUAUAAAAACCAGUGUUUGAUUUUCUCUAUCCCUGCACUUUUACUUUAUAGUCAACUUUACUUCUAGCGCAAUCAACUAUGUUUUUCCGCUGCAUACAAAUUUUCAUUACUUGCAUUUCAAGAAAGUUUGAAAAGUUUGAUACUUUGUUUUCAAGAUUGCGAAAAGACUUUGUUUUUGAUAAACCACCAAUUCACCCCCCU
This 410-nucleotide long non-coding RNA is filed under the name Vigna radiata. Its description in RNAcentral is "long non-coding RNA (VRAD_LNC012510)". Lineage: Eukaryota; Viridiplantae; Streptophyta; Magnoliopsida; Fabales; Fabaceae. The record is from RNAcentral.